This 268-nucleotide long non-coding RNA is filed under the name Mytilus galloprovincialis (Mediterranean mussel). Lineage: Eukaryota; Metazoa; Mollusca; Bivalvia; Mytilida; Mytilidae. The record is from RNAcentral.
GGGACAGAUGGACGGACUGAUGAACGGACGAACAGACGAGAAAACAUAAUGCCCAUAAAUGGGGCAUAAAAACAAUUAAAGUUUAGUCAUGAGGUACAAUCAGUGAGAUAUAUGUUACACUAUAAAAUACAAAACAAGUUUUUGUUAUCAAAUCAAUAUACAUAUCACAUUAGCUUUAUAGUAGCAGUCUUUAUAAAUACAUCACAUAUAAACACUGGCCUUAUACUAUGUUCAUAACCAUUAUAACAUCAUGACGGCUUCAAAUUCC